Non-coding RNA from Podarcis lilfordi (Lilford's wall lizard), 10967 nucleotides. NCBI's taxonomy places the organism in Eukaryota, Metazoa, Chordata, Lepidosauria, Squamata, Lacertidae. The record is from the annotation of a GenBank genome assembly.
UGGAUAUGCAGAAGGUAUUAAACAUAAAUUUAAGGAACCACAGAAAGAGGGAGAAGGAAGUCAAGUUUUGAAAUGUUAAAAUGAUUGUAAAAUUAGUGAAAUGUAGAAAUCUGAAAAGCGUAAAUAAUAUAUUUUUUUAAAAAAAUAAGGUGUAAGUUCGGCCUUCCUACAGAGGAGCUUUGGCCUGUACAUACUGAUUUCUGAUUUUUACUGCCUCUGAGAGGAAUUUUGCUACGGCCAGUGUAACAAUAUCAAUCUCAUCCUCAAUCUUAUCCUCAAGAAGAACCUUGACAUCAAAAGAAUCGGCAAUUCCAGCUUAUUCUGUUAAUAUUGGAUUGAUUAGAUGCUGCCUAACCUGUUUAUACAGACUACAGUGUAAUAAAAUGUGCUUCAUACAUUCAGCAUCCUGGGAACAUGGACACAGCCUUGCUUGGUAUGGGACACCAGCCAAUCUUCCGCUCAGAUGGGAAGACCUGCUGCAAAACAAUAUUUGACAAGGUCUUCUCUAAGAAUGCUGAAAUCACUGGAAUUCUGCUGAUGUGUGCAAUGAUGUCAUAAAGCUGCCUAUUGGUCCUGAGUGUUCUUGAUUGCCGAGGUUCAACGUGGCUUCCUCAUAAAUCACAUUUUUCUUCCCAGGGAAACCAUCAGGAAGGCCUCCAACACUUCACCAUACAGAGUUUGGUGCAUAGCUGUCAACUUACAGAUAUGAAAAUAAGGGACCAGCAGCCUCGAAAAUAAGGGAUCAGCAGCCAAAAUAAGGGAUUUGCCCAGCACAGGUAUGUUCAACUUCUGAGCCCCUCCGAGCUAAAGGCAGAAAACCCAGCCAGCAGCCAAACGAAGCCUCAAGCGGUGGUUCCCACAGCGCAGCAACCCGGCAAAGGGGACGCAGCAAGGAAAACCACCGUCACCUCUCCGCUGGGAAGCGCUGAGCAAAGGCGAGUCCCCAGGCAACAUGGCCGAUUUGAUCGGCACAAGGCAUGCAAGCUCCACCCCCCAGUCGUUCUUAGACUCCUUAUUGGGUGAGCAACGCAGCCAAGCAACACAACUGAAGCUUCCCUCCUCCCUGGCCGGCAGGCAGGGAGGGAGAGGAGCUGCUUCCUUUAAAACCUGGGAAAUUUAAGGGACAUCAUCAAUAAGGGACAGCAGCGGGACACGGCACUGGGAUAAGGGAGUUUCCCGCCAAAUAAGGGACGGUUGACAGCUAUGGUUUGGUGCUCUUUAGAGAAUGAUAGUGACAUCAUGAUUUCAUUAGCAAGAUCCUCUAUGGAAGAGAUUAAAAUACUAACUUGGUAAGCCUGAGGUUUUGUAGGCAACUGAGAGACUUCUCUUUUGUAGGCAACUGAGAGACUUCUCUGAACAACAUGAAGUCCAUUAUAGGCCUGCAAUAUGGUGGUGCAAUCUUGAAUGGUUUCCUUCUGUUUGGGACAGGACUAUGUUGUGAUGUGGUGUCAGGGCCUGCAGCAGCCUUGUGUUACAUUAGCCACUUUCUAGUGCUCAGAGACGUGGGUGGCACUGCGGUCUAAACCGCUGAGUUUCUUGGGCUUGCCGAUCAGAAGGUUGGUGGUUCGAAUCCCUGCAACGGAAUGAGCUCGCAUUGCUCUGUCCCAGCUCCUGCCAACCUAGCAGUUCAAAAGCAUGCCAGUUGGCAAGUAGAUAAAUAGGUACCGCUAUGGCAGGAAGGUAAAUGGUAAGGUAAGCCAGAAGCGGCUUAGUCAUGCUGGCCACAUGACCUGGAAGCUGUACGCCGGCUCCCUCGGCCAAUGAAGCGAGAUGAGCACUGCAACCCCAGAGUCGGCCACGACUGGACCUAAUGGUCAGGGGUCUCUUUACCUUUAGCACAGGGAAGCUGGUUCUUUCUAGAAGGGCUUCUGGAAUGUGCUGUUGUUUCCUCUGACAAUCCCUAAAAAGAAAAAGAAAAACGAAAAACAGGAGCCCAUUCUUUCUGAGGUGUUUUCAAAAUCAGGAUGACACUUCCCAGAGGUUGCAGAAACUGAGUUGUUCUGAAAUACUGCAAGAUUAGAAAUGAUGAAUUUUCACCUAGGCUGAGCAUGUCUUAUGAACUAGCAAUUUCUGGAUUACAACUAUCUCAUCGGCAGCUUUAGCCGCAUACGGGGGGGGGGGGGGAGGCAAUUUAUUACUUUUCUGUGUAAUAAGCAUUUGAGGUAGCUUUACCUGCAAUAAAGAAUGAGAUGACUGUGCCAAUAUUAUGCUUCAAUUUAUACAAGGUCCUGCCAUCCAGUAUGAUUAACAGUCUUGCAACAGAGAGUGGAUGGAAUAAUCAGCUAAUUGAAAAGAGUGGUGAGUUCUGUUACAAAACUUCGGUUCCGUCCAUUAUGCUAAGUUUGCGCAUGAACUUUGAGAGUGUUAAUGAUUAGUAUUAAAAGAAUAGUAAGUGCUUAUUGUAAAAACUUCUUUUCAGGGUUUCUUUACCCUAAAUUUAAUCCUAUAUAUACUUACCUGGUAGUAAGUCCUACUGAACCUACUUCUGAAUAGACAUAACAUACAUAGGGUUGUGCUGUUGAUUUCUGCUCAGUAUACCUUUAUUUAUAAUGCAUGUAAUUAUAGGGGUAAUUGCACCUAUAGUUGCAAAAAUGCAACAAGCAAUGGCAAUGAGGGGCAAUCAUACUUUGAUGAUCAGUUGCCAAUGCUUUGUGAAUGUGUUCACCAAGGAGAAAAGUACACACAGAUUAACAACCAUAUUAUCAAAAACCUUCGGUUUCUGUUACCAGAAAUAAAACUGGUGGGGGUCACUGAUGUUCCUAAUCUCCUGGUUUGGUAUAUGAAUUUCACCCAGCUGAUAUUGCUAAAUCAUAGCAUGAACCAGGAGCCAUGUUCCUUUUAAGUUCUUCUCGGACCGGGAUUGUUAAAUGAGAUUCUGCACAUAGCACAAUAAAGCUUUCAGCAGACCAGCUGCACAAAGCUAAGUGCUACGGAGCACGCAGAGAAGUGUAUUCAGGUUAAUCCAUUUUCUUUAUUGUUAAGUGUGUCAUAGAUUGCUGGGUACUAGACUGCCCACAUAAACAGCCUUUUGUUUGAGUAUCUCCUCUGUUUGGAUCAAUAAUCUUGACUGUUUCUUGCAGACAUUUAAUGUGGCUUUUGCCCUUUCUCCAGACUUAAGCUCUUACCUCUCCCUGGGUGGGUUGGUUUGGAGUAAGGAUAUUGAAUUUCCAAGUAUCUCUCUGUUGUGGUUGAUGCAAUGGGGUAGGUGCAGGGCAGUUAAAACCAAGGUGCUGUGGGUUAAACCACAGAGCCUAGGGGCUUGCCGAUCAGAAGGUCGCCGGUUCGAAUCCCCAUGACGGGGUGAGCUCCCGUUGCUCGGUCCCUGCUCCUGCCAACCUAGCAGUUCGAAAGCAUGUCAAAGUGCAAGUAGAUAAAUAGGUACCACUCCAGUGGGAAGGUAAACGGUGUUUCCGUGCACUGCUCUGGUUCGCCAGAAGCAGCUUAGUCAUCCUGUACACCGGCUCCCUCGGCCAAUAAAGCGAGAUGAGCGCCGCAACCCCAGAGUCGGUCACGACUGGACCUAAUGGUCAGGGGUCCCUUUACCUUUAUAUAAUUCUCAAAGGUCAAUACUGUAAGACACAUCUUUCCACAUUCUGGACAAGAAGCUCAAGAAGAAAGGUAGGACACCACAGAGAGAUCCAAAAUAGCAAUAGGAAUGGAAAUUAUUUUUGCAGGGUCAUAGCACCCCUUCAAGGUUCACUCCUUGCUUAAAGGAGCAGCCACCAUGCCCCUCACUUGGUAUUCAUUUUCUUGGACAGUGGUACCUUGGUUUACAACCAUAAUCCGUUCUGGAGGUCCGUUUGUAAAUCAAAACAGGUUGUAACCCAAGGCGCGCUUUCGCUAAUGGGGCCUCUAAAAAAAUUUGUUCGUAAUCCAAAAUAAUAAUAAUAAUAAUGGGUUGCAAUAAAAAGAAACGUUUGCAAACCAGGACAUGCACUUCCGGGUUUGAUGUGCUUGUAAUCCAAAACGUAUGCAAACCAAGUCGUAUGCAAACCAAGGUACCACUGUAUUGUAUCACCUUACAGGUAGAGUGAUGAGAUGGCAUGGAAAUGCAAAGCGUUCCUGGUGUGGAAAGGGAUGGUUUUGUAGAAAAUGCAAGUUUGGAGGUUGCUGAAUCUGGUGGUCCCAGUUCUGGGUUUCUGCCUCAAAGAGCUCCAGUGUGAUAGAUAGGUUCAGUCUAUAUGACUCACGUCCAGAAAAACAGAUGGUAAAGGGCUUAUUCCUCCUACACUCAAAUUAUGCCAUUAAAAGCCAUGGCCUGUAGUAAUAUCUAUAGAGAUUUAUACUUGUAUAUGAAGUUCAUUUCGCUGUAGCAGGUAAUUGGCUGUUUCCCAUGAGCCUCCAUUUUGCAUCUCGCUUCCCCCCACCUCAGCCCCUGUUCUGUACCUGGCUCCAUUUGGAGGGUCUCAGCGAUCUAGAAAAAAACAAAACAAAACAAAGCAGAUCUUAUAAGCUUGAAGUCUCUUUGCCCUGAUCUACUCUUGGUAGCCUCUGAAAACAAUACCAAACAAAUCAUAAAAAUAAGCCCUUCAUAUUUAAAACAGCAAACAAAACUUGAACGAAUUUAUAUGUUCAAUCAUUUAAAUGGGUGCGAGCUCGCAUUUGCUUCUGGCAGACCAGUUUUGGAGGAGCUGGAUCUCCUAGCAUGACUGAAAUAAUGAUGAGUGGCAGGCCCCUGUUUUCCUAAGUUUGUUUCUGUUUCCCCUGCUGUCUGGAAUAAGUUCUGCUUUAAUGCCCCCAUCUGGUUUCUGUGCCUUCUUGAAAACCUUCUUCACACAUUUGCAGAAAUCUUCUCUGUCUGAGUUAAGAAAUGGCUCCUUUCUUAUUUUGUUCGAAAUAGAACUAUGAAUGGGCAUGCACUUGGUGUGUGCGUGUGUGUGUGUGUGUGUGUGUGUGUGUGUGAAACAAUUUCAUAUGGAAUAACUAUGUGCACCUUAUUUCUUGCUCCCUCUUUCAACGAAACAAGUUAAGACAAAGGCUUGGAAGGUGAUCUUAGUGUGUGAUGAACUCAGGCAUAACAGCACAGUGUGCCACAAUCACAACCACUGUUGCCAUGUGACGAUUCCAGUCCCAACCGCCACAAAACUCACAUAAACAAAACUUAUGUCUAAAUACAGUGGUACCUCAGGUUACAUACACUUCAGGUUACAUAUGCUUCAGGUUACAGACUCCGCUAACCCAGAAAUAUUACCUCAGGUUAAGAACUUUGCUUCAGGAUGAGAACAGAAAUCGGGCUCCGGUGGCGCGGCAGCAGCAGGAGGCCCCAUUAGCUAAAGUGGUGUUUCAGGUUAAGAACAAUUUCAGGUUAAGUGCAGACCUCCGGAACGAAUUAAGUACUUAACCUGAGGUACCACUGUAAAUUCCAGUUAGAAAACAGCCCCCCCAAUACAAUACUAGAAAUUGUGCUAAGUAUAAGAAGCCGUACUCUAUAGGCUGCCCCUGUGUCUUAUUGUAGAGAAGAAAGCCAUCUUCUUUCUUGAAGGAGUCCUCUGUCUGAAAGGUUGCCUGGUCCAGAAAGCCAAGAGAUAUUCAAGUGUAGUUAAACAAGCAGAAUCAGGAAAGCUGUUAGUGGUAAGAAGGUUUAUUUCAGAAAAUGGAGGUGUUGCCCAAAUGAGGAGAGUCACUAGGUUAAAGGCACAACACAGAUCCCCACCCUUGAGUUACAGGGAUGGCAAGGGAGUCAAACGUGUGUUAAAGGAGCAAAAGGAGACGACCGAGACACUGAGUGAAUUCUUUGGAUCUUCGUUUUGGAAGAUGUAGGACAGAUCCCUGUGCCUGUAAUUUUCUCAGGAACUGAGGCAAAUACUGUUGACAACAGCAAAGUUCUAGGCCUUGCUGACAAACUUAAAAAAUAACCAAUCAUUGAGUUCAUAUGGCAUCUGCCCAAAAGUCAUUAAAGAACUUAGAUGUGGAGAUGCUGAUCUUCCAACAAAAUUGCCAGAAGCUCGGCGGUUCGAAUCCCCAUGAUGGGGUGAGCUCCUGUGGCUCUGUCCCAGCUCCUGCCAACCUAGCAGUUUGAAAGCACGCCAGUACAAGUAGAUAAACAGGUACCGCUGUAGCAGGAAGGUAAACAGCCUUUCCGUGUGCUCUGGUUUCCGUCACGGUGUCCCAUUGUGCCAGAAGCUACUGUUAGGUCCAUCAUGAGAUGUCUGCCAGCUUCUAAUCACGGAUACCAGCAGCCUUCAAUCAAGCAAACUUGCCUUAUUAUUCCUCCUUAGCAUCCCACUGCCAGAGGAUUGCCUCCUGCCAUUCACACUUUUCCUCCUCCAAGUGGAAGAAACCUGGGCAGUGCUGAAUGUCACAUCCAUUGCCAGGUGUGUCCUGCUGGAAACAGAAAAGGGAUUUCCCUUGGCCUGCCUGUAUAUCCACUCAGUUGCCAAGUGCUUUUGUGACAUCACAAGAAACCCACAACCAAUGGCAACAGCUGGGGAGGCAUUGUCUUCAUUGCUUUGAGCCUUACAAUGGCAGGUGGACCUAUCAAUGAUUGUGUGCUUGUUUAUUCAGGACAUGGGUGGAGCUGUGGUCUAAACCACUGAGCCUCUUGGGCUUGCCGAUCAGAAGGUUGGUGGUUCAAAUCCCUGCGAUGGAGUGAGCUCCUGUUGCUCUAUCCCAGCUCCUGCCAACCUAACAGUUCGUAAGCAUGCCAGUGCAAGUAGAUAUAUAGGUACUGCUGCAGAGGGAAGGUAAACGGCGUUUCCAUGCACUCUGGCUUCCAUCACGGUGUCCCGUUGCACCAGAAGCGGUUUAAUCCUGCUGGCCACAUGACCCGGAAAGCUGUCUGUGGACAAACACUGGCUCCCAUGGCCUGAAGUGAAAUGAGUGCCACAACCCCAUAGUUGCCUUUGACUGGACUUAACUGUCCAGGGGUCCUUUAUCUUUUUUUACCUUAGAAUCCUGAAAGGCACCAGCCGUGCAAGAGCUACACGUGUGCAGAGGUGCUAGUGGGGAAGGGGAAGGGGGGACUGUUCCCUCAACAGAGCUGGCCUUAUCAAACAGCAGCAAUGGCAUCAGGCAGUGCAGGGGGAGGGAUGGCAAAUUUGUGGCUCCCAGACUACUACUCAGUUGUCUCUGCUGGAGUCCCCCUGUGGCUCUCCGGAGCCUUCUCCUGACCCUACUUCAUACCACCCCAUCCAGCGGAGAGAGUGGUACAGCCUAGAUCAGGCAUAGGCAAAUUCGGUGUUAUGUUGUGGGUGAACAUAUCAGAUGACACAGAGAUUCUUCAAACAGCUCUUGUUUAUUCACAGGCCAGAACAGAACUGAACUGAAGGGUUCAGCCAGCCUGCGUAUAUAGUGCUCCACUAGAACGCAACAGUAACCAUUUUCUGUAACUAUCCAAUCACUGAACGUUACUUUCAAUCCCUUAUUUGCAUAUGUGGACCUGAGUGAAAACUAUCUACAGUAUCGCCCUGCUGCCCCAGGGUGAGAACUUCAGUACAUAACACUCAGGACCAGCGUUCAGGGAGGAUGGGAGUUGUAGUCCCAAAACAUCUGGAGGGCUGACUUUGCCUAUGCCUGGCCUAGAGCAUCCUGUUCUCACAGUGACCAAGCGGAUGGCCGUGGGAAACCCGCAAGCGGGAUUUGAGCACAGGAGUGCUCAAACCCUCCUGUGGUUUCCAGCAAUUGGUAUUCAGCAGCUCUAGUGCCUCCAGUGUGGAGUCAGAGCAGAGCCGUCAUGGCAAGUAGCCUUCAAAAGUCCUCCAUGAAUUUCUCCAAUUCUCUUUUAAAGCCAUUACCUUCUCUGGUCGGGGUGAGUUCCAUAGUUUAACUAUAUGCUGUAUGAAGAAGUAUUUUCUCCUAUCUUUGCUUCUUUCUUUUAUUUCAUCUACGGCUCACUUUUCAUUAGGCAUUCCAAAGCAAUUUGCAACGCAACAGAACAGUGACAUAUCUAAAAAUGGUUAAAACACUUGCAUAUAAAGAAAUAAUUUAAAAAUGAUUCUAAAUAUCAAAACAAAUACUGAUAAAAAAGCAAUACUGAAGGUGAAUUUCAUUCAUUGCUGAAAUAUUAAAAAGCCCCAAAAGGACUGCAUAUCUGGUUACUAAAUUGCAGUUAACUUGAAAGUUCCACUUCAAUACCUUAUUUCCCAAUAUGCCUUCACAAUUCAUCCGAGACGCCUGCAAUAGAUAUUGCAUCAUGAAAUAAAAAAGAAAGACAACUGUCCUUCAAAAUCUGUACUUUGCCGAAUUCUGAGCUGCAGAUCUCUAACAAAACAAAAAGUGUACAAAAACGUACUAUGGGAUAAUAUGCACAAAGAUGCAUGUAUUGGGGGGGAAAUACAGAAAAAUACAUCAUAUUAGGAAAUGUCUAUAUCAACUUACGCAAAAUUGCAUGCAAAAUAUGUAUAUUAGGAGAAACGCACACUAAAUGCUAACAAAUUCCAUGCAGACUUUUUUUAAAAACAUGCAGCAAAUUGAAUUUAUGAUUGGGAAAGAGAGAAAUCGAGAGAUUUAUCCAGCCCUAUUCAAGAGUUCACUGUUGUUGUUGUUUUUAAAGUAACACAAUGUCUGGUGAAAUAAGGCUUUAGAGCAGGCUUUGAACAGCUCCCUGGCAAAGGCAUCCCAAACAGAAAAUGCUUAAUCAUCAUGACUGAAUCUGCCUACAGAAACUUUUAUGGGAAGACAGAAGAGGAGCAAUACAGCAGUAGGUUGUCACUAAGCAAACAACUGCAGGAAUGAAUGGCUUAAUGAGUAUUGGCUGCAAUGUUGCCAGGUAAGCAAAUAAGUGAUCAAAGCAGAAGGAGCCAAGUCCGAGGUAGACACAGGUUAAGAAGGAGAAGUGUGUGGCAAUCAAUAGCAAAACAUGGUGCCAAAUGACUGCCGUAGUCCCAUGCACCUGCCAAUAUGUGGCGACGAAGCAUUAUUUAGAAUGGAAAAUGAAUCAGUAAAGGGGAGGAAAGUCUUCUGUGCUCUCAAAAAUAUGCAGCAUUUUGCAAAUGCCAUUGGAGUGGGAUAUGGCUAACCUGUGAAUUCAAAAAUAGGACAGAACUAAAUAAUUGAAAAACAGAGGUGGGUGGUUGUUGUUUUUAGAAAAGGGGGGGGGAGUCAGUGAUCUCCCACACCACAGGCCAAUCCCGACAAGCUAUGCAUUUUUAUCUUCUCUUGAUUACACUGGCAGCAUUGACACAGCUAAGCAUAUCCUGAAUGGGAUUUGAAAGAAGGCAUACUCUUUAAAUCCCUUUCAGGAGUGCACAAAUUAAAAGGGGUAUAGAAAAGGAUGUCCUUACAGUCAGAAGGUUUUUAGUCUUCUUUUGCUGAAGCUGUGGACAAGUCUUUCAAGUGAUAGGCUGGUAGGCCUUGGUGCAAGCAAAUUGACUUGCGGUAUUCCAGUCUAAACCACUGAGCCUAGGGCUUGCUGAUCAGAAGGUUGGUGGUUCAAAUCCUCACAAUGGGGUGAGCUUCCGUUGUUCAGUCCCAGCUCCUGCCAACCCAGCAGUUCGAAGGCAUGUCAAAGUGCAAGUAGAUAAAUAGGUACCACUCCGGCGGGAAGGUAAACGGCGUUUCCGUGCACUGCUCUGGUUUGCCAGAAGCGGCUUAGUCAUGCUGGCAACAUGACCCAGAAGCUGUCUGCGGACAAACGCCAGCUCUCUCGGCCUAUAGAGCGAGAUGAACACGAAACCCCAGAGUCAUCCACAGCUGGGGUCCCUUUACCUUUAUUCCAGUCCACAACCUGAACAGGCAGAUUUGUUGCUAGAUAUGUAUGUGAAUUCUCAAGACCUUGAGAUUUUCUUCCGGUUUCCUCAUCUAACAAAGGGAAGUGAGUAGCUGCAAGGGAAGAGGGCCUUUUCAGUGGUGGCGCCCUGCUAGAGCAAAAUUUGAGUAAAAUCAGUACAGUUUUGAAAGGGUCAGUCUGCUGUCUAAUUGGUAUCCAACAGACAAAUACCAACUCCUUGAUCUCAGGAACCUUCAUGCAAAAUUUGGCGAUGAUGCAAACAACUUUCCAAAAUAUUGAUGCAGAUGAACCAGAAUGAUGUUCAAAACAGAAAUAGGAUAUAUUAAUAAUCAUAUAGAAACCUAUUAAAAUAACAUGAUAUUAUUCUGAAAUUAACAGUGACCAGACCAAAAUUAUCCUUCUGGGAAGGCCAGUUGGAAUUAAAAAUGGCAUUAAUAGGUCCUGAUACCCAUUGCUGUCCACAGCAUAUAUGUAAAUAUUAGUUUUAUACAAGAUCUCAUAAUAUGCAGUGACCUGUCAUUCAGAUGGAUGAGGAAAGAGGAAGAUUUACUGUUAGAUCUCAGAAACAUUGAAAUGAAGAACUUCAUAGACUGCGAUUCCUGCUAAAGAUUAAUUCAAUUCAGUAAAGGCUAAGAUACACUAGAUACAAUUUUCAAUAGAAGAUUAAGGAGAAGAAACAAAUAUGAGACAGCAAUAUGAUUUAUUCUUUCCAAACAUUAUUCUGAAAUUAGAGUUAGUCAUGGCUCAGUAGCAUCAUAUAAAUGGAACAACUUGCUUGGAGAACCAUUUAUUCUAACAAAUGAGUUGAGCUAAAGGGAAGUCUUAGAAAGGUUUUCAGACUGGUUGAUAAUCCUUACGGUUUUAGCAGGGCUGAACAGUUGUGUUGAAGCCAUGCCAAAGUUUCUCAAAAUUAGACUUUGGUUCAGAUGUAAUGGGAAAUGCAUGAAACUCAUUUCUUAUUGCUUUCCUAGCAGUGAGAACAAUCAAACAGAGACAAAAGUGUUUGCUGGGGAAGUCACAUGAGGGAGAAAAGAAAAGCUUUCCUACCCGAAGCUAUCACUACCCUAAGGAGUCUCAAAGCGACUAACAUUCUCCUUUUCCACUUCCUCCCCCACAACAAACACUCUGUGAGGUGAGUGAGAGACUUCAGAGAAGUGUGACUGGCCCAAGGUCACCCAGCAGCUGCAUGUGGAGGAGCGGAGACGCGAACCCGGUUCACCAGAUUACGAGUCUACUGCUCUUAACUACUAUACCACACUGGCUCUCUGAUGAUGAUGAUGAUGAUGAUGAUGAUGAUGAU